GAUGAAGAACGCAGCGAAAUGCGAUAAGUAAUGCGAAUUGCAGAAUUCCAGUGAGUCAUCGAGUCUUUGAACGCACAUUGCGCCCCCUGGUAUUCCGGGGGGCAUGCCUGUCCGAGCGUCAUUGCUGCCCUCAAGCCCGGCUUGUGUGUUGGGUCUCGUCCCCCUUCCCGGGGGGACGGGCCCGAAAGGCAGCGGCGGCACCGCGUCCGGUCCUCGAGCGUAUGGGGCUUUGUCACCCGCUCUGUAGGCCCGGCCGGCGCUUGCCGAUCAACCAAAACUUUUUUCCAGGUUGACCUCGGAUCAGGUAGGGAUACCCGCUGAACUUAAGCAUAUCAAUAAGCGGAGGA
RNAcentral lists this unclassified non-coding RNA (347 nucleotides) under soil metagenome. RNAcentral describes it as "partial contains 5.8S ribosomal RNA, internal transcribed spacer 2, and large subunit ribosomal RNA". The stretch from base 1 to 121 matches the Rfam family "5.8S ribosomal RNA", at positions 35 to 154 of the family's 154-position model. The record is from RNAcentral.